This 380-nucleotide ribosomal RNA is filed under the name uncultured bacterium. Its description in RNAcentral is "bacterial SSU rRNA". It matches the Rfam family "Bacterial small subunit ribosomal RNA", at positions 98 to 477 of the family's 1533-position model. The record is from RNAcentral.
GCAAACGGGUGCGCAACACGUACAGAACUUUCCUUUAAGCGGGGGAUAGCCCAGAGAAAUUUGGAUUAAUACCCCAUGGUAUUAUCAGGUGGCAUCAUUUGAUAAUUAAAGAUUUAUCACUUAGAGAUGGCUGUGCGGCUGAUUAGGUAGUUGGUGCAGUAACGGCUCACCAAGCCUUCGAUCAGUAACUGGUGUGAGAGCACGACCAGUCACACGGGCACUGAGACACGGGCCCGACUCCUACGGGAGGCAGCAGUAAGGAAUAUUGGUCAAUGGAGGCAACUCUGAACCAGCCAUGCCGCGUGAAGGAUGAAGGUCCUCUGGAUUGUAAACUUCUUUUAUGUGGGAAGAAAUGCAUUCUUUAUAGAGUGUUGACGGUA